GCUGAAACACCUCAGUUGGGAAAGCGUUAGACUGAAGAUCUAAAUGGCCCUCGAUCAAUCCUGGGUUUCUGCA
RNAcentral lists this transfer RNA (73 nucleotides) under Lepisosteus oculatus (spotted gar). It matches the Rfam family "tRNA". From Rfam's summary of the family: Transfer RNA (tRNA) molecules are approximately 80 nucleotides in length. Lineage: Eukaryota; Metazoa; Chordata; Actinopteri; Semionotiformes; Lepisosteidae. The record is from Rfam by way of RNAcentral.